RNAcentral lists this long non-coding RNA (300 nucleotides) under Phoenix dactylifera (date palm). RNAcentral describes it as "long non-coding RNA (PDAC_LNC014706)". The record is from RNAcentral. Lineage: Eukaryota; Viridiplantae; Streptophyta; Magnoliopsida; Arecales; Arecaceae.
UCAUACCCUCCUUUAUAUAGAAAGAAAGGUUGGCAAAGGAUAACGACUACACAGAAUUUUAAAUUGGACUCCUAAUCACAUGAGGACUCUUUUAAAAUUCAAAUCUUCUAAUUGACCAAUAAAAUACCUGGACACCUAAGCCUAAACACCUAAGAUCCAUAUCUAUGGCGUGUGGAUUGAAACCCAUCAAAAGGAAUUCAGCCGCAUGCCAUGAGUUGGAAUCUAGGUGGACUCCUUCUCGGGUACCAACAUCAGCAUGAAGUUCGGAAGACUCCUCAAAUGUCAUCUGAUCUCCAAAUU